This is a small RNA of Laribacter hongkongensis HLHK9, 76 nucleotides long. It matches the Rfam family "isrK Hfq binding RNA". Lineage: Bacteria; Pseudomonadati; Pseudomonadota; Betaproteobacteria; Neisseriales; Aquaspirillaceae. The record is from Rfam.
GUCGCGUUCAAUAGCGCGGCCGGGUUUGGCGACCCGGAGUCAUAGGCGGACACACCGCCGCGAAAGCGGUUUUUUU